AUCGCUUCUCGGCCUUUUGGCUAAGAUCAAGUGUAGUAUCUGUUGUUCUCAGUUUAAUCCCCAGUCAAAGGAAAUUAAAAGAAAAUGUGAAAGAAAAAUCAAAGGAAAUGUGCUGGGUAAACUUGGUCUGGACACAUACUCAGUCUAAUUCUGGCUUGUUAUUCCUCUUCUAAUCAGUUUGUAUGCUUUCCU
Small nuclear RNA from Heteronotia binoei (common prickly gecko), 192 nucleotides. RefSeq annotates it as U2 spliceosomal RNA. Lineage: Eukaryota; Metazoa; Chordata; Lepidosauria; Squamata; Gekkonidae. The transcript has a single exon. The record is from RefSeq and is a predicted model, not a curated record.